RNAcentral lists this microRNA precursor (89 nucleotides) under Canis lupus familiaris (dog). Its description in RNAcentral is "mir-8799 microRNA precursor family". It matches the Rfam family "mir-8799 microRNA precursor family". RNAcentral also lists the same sequence under 1 other name. The record is from Rfam by way of RNAcentral. Lineage: Eukaryota; Metazoa; Chordata; Mammalia; Carnivora; Canidae.
CGGGGGAGGCCGGAUCCUGGGCUGUGUCCCGGCGCCCUGUGCUCCGGAGCCUGCGCUGUUGGAGUUGCGCUCCCGCCCCGCAGCCCCCU